Molecule: long non-coding RNA, 1556 nt
Organism: Dermochelys coriacea (leatherback sea turtle)
Lineage: Eukaryota; Metazoa; Chordata; Testudines; Dermochelyidae
Exons: 2
Source: RefSeq, a predicted model, not a curated record
UGAGCAGGGCCGGCAGACGGAACCCCAGACCACUGGCCUCACUCAGUCUUCUGCUGGCCUGGGGUUCCAUUCACCCAGGCCAGCAAUGGGCUGAGCGGGGCUGGCAGCCAGGACCACGGCUGGCAGCAGCAUACCAGUAAAAAUCGGCUCGCGUGCUGCAGGUUGUCGACCCCUGAUGUAGCAUGUCUCUCUACCCUUGGCUGGUAGGCAAACUCCCAGCUGCAGUGUAGACAUUGCUGUCUUAAAGUUUUGUUAAAAUGCAAUGGUGGUUACUGUUAAACUGUAUAGCCUUCAGCAAAACCUUUGCAGUUCACCCUUAGUAGAAGCUGAAGCUGUUUCCAUUUAAGAAAAUGAAGCCACUCUCUGAAAUAAAAUUUACCUAAAUCUCUUUGCUAAUUGUACAUAUAUUUUGAAUGUUGAUAAUUAUAUGGCUAUGAUUAAGUCUAUGAGACUUAAUAACAGUAGAACACCCAAACUUAAUUACCAUUCUUGCAUUGCUGAAGUAUGUUUAUAUUCAUGUAACAUCACUAAAUUUCUUUUGGUAUACUGGAUGCUUGGUAAAAUGCCACACUGUUAUGACCAUCCUAAGUAAAGAUAAAACACUAAAAUAAUGCUAUUUCAAAAACACAACAACAAAAAACCUCUGGGAAUACUUUAGGAAAGUUGCUUACUUAUUUUGUUGAACCUUGUUUGGUCAUGCUAACAUGAAAAUAUCGUCAACACUGAUUUGUUUGCUAUUGCAUGUUGAGUCUUCAGAAACAGUGUCAGGUUGUGUUUUAAAAUACCUUUUGCUGUGCAGUAAACUAAAUAAGCUAUUUUGAAAAAUAUUGCUCUAAUGAAUAAAGAAAAUGUUUAUUCUCAAAGUCCUUUUCAAAGACUAGGUAAACUAAGAACAUAUUGAUACUUAAUAUGUAUCAUGUUUCACGUAAUUCAAGAGAAAAAUCUACUAAUCAGUUGUAUGCAUGCGGUUUUUUUUGUUUUUUGUUACUUAUUGUGGCACAUUUAAAAACAAGAGAAUACAGGUUUGAGAUUUUACAGAACAAUCAGAUCACAAUCAAGAGGAAACCCAACUUUUUUUUAAAGAGAAGUUGAUUUCAUUUGACUUCAUUGUGAACUAUGACAACUCGUUUUUGCUUUUGGCAUUCCGUCAGAAAUUCUCCUUGUGGCAAAAAGUGAAUGUCUGUUUUAAUUUUAAAAAUAUUGUUGCCAUGGGAGGUAGAAGAUCUACCUGAAAAACUGGUAUCUGCAAAGGAACCCCUCCAAGAUUACCAUGUGAUCAAAAAUAUUGAGCUAGAAAGACAACGAUGCUGAUGAAAUUUCAGAUUACUACUUACACUACUACUGCUGUGGGAACCAAUUCUGUACAUCCACUUCAAGUCUUUAAUUGUUUUUACCUGUGUGUGUUCCUAGACCUUUUUCCAUUUUAAUUAAAAAUGCUUCCUUUUGAUCUUUCUGACUCUGAGCCUCCAUGCAGUAUUACAGUUGUCUGGAUAUAUCUGCAUUAGUUUUGAUACAUUGUAUGCUUAGCACUGAACAUUAAAUUAGGUUUAAACCUU